GACGAACGCUGGCGGCGUGCCUAAUACAUGCAAGUCGAGCGAAGUUUUUCUGGUGCUUGCACCGGAAAAACUUAGCGGCGAACGGGUGAGUAACACGUAAAGAACCUGCCUCAUAGACUGGGACAACUAUUGGAAACGAUAGCUAAUACCGGAUAACAGCAUUAACUGCAUGGUUGAUGUUUAAAAGUUGGUUUUGCUAACACUAUGAGAUAGCUUUGCGGUGCAUUAGCUAGUUGGUGGGGUAAAGGCCUACCAAGGCGACGAUGCAUAGCCGACCUGAGAGGGUGAUCGGCCACACUGGGACUGAGACACGGCCCAGACUCCUACGGGAGGCAGCAGUAGGGAAUCUUCCGCAAUGGGCGAAAGCCUGACGGAGCAACGCCGCGUGAGUGAAGAAGGAUUUCGGUUCGUAAAGCUCUGUUGUUAGGGAAGAAUGAUUGUGUAGUAACUAUACACAGAA
RNAcentral lists this ribosomal RNA (460 nucleotides) under uncultured Gemella sp. Its description in RNAcentral is "bacterial SSU rRNA". It matches the Rfam family "Bacterial small subunit ribosomal RNA", at positions 28 to 477 of the family's 1533-position model. Lineage: Bacteria; Bacillati; Bacillota; Bacilli; Caryophanales; Gemellaceae. The record is from RNAcentral.